RNAcentral lists this ribosomal RNA (408 nucleotides) under uncultured bacterium. RNAcentral describes it as "bacterial SSU rRNA". It matches the Rfam family "Bacterial small subunit ribosomal RNA", at positions 505 to 916 of the family's 1533-position model. The record is from RNAcentral.
GUGUCAGCCGCCGCGGUAAUACGUAGGGGGCGAGCGUUGUCCGGAUUUACUGGGCGUAAAGGGUGAGUAGGCGGUUAUAUAAGUCAGAUGUAAAAGGCUAUGGCUUAACCAUAGUUAGCAUUUGAAACUGUAUGACUUGAGUGCAGGAGAGGUAAGCGGAAUUCCUAGUGUAGCGGUGAAAUGCGUAGAUAUUAGGAGGAACACCAGUGGCGAAGGCGGCUUACUGGACUGUAACUGACGCUGAGUCACGAAAGCGUGGGUAGCAAACAGGAUUAGAUACCCUGGUAGUCCACGCCGUAAACGAUGAGUGCUAGGUGUUGGGUAGUAAUACUCAGUGCCGAAGUAAACACAAUAAGCACUCCGCCUGGGGAGUACGUACGCAAGUAUGAAACUCAAAUGAAUUGGCGG